Molecule: long non-coding RNA, 1696 nt
Filed under: Sus scrofa (pig)
Lineage: Eukaryota; Metazoa; Chordata; Mammalia; Artiodactyla; Suidae
Description: lncRNA (ENSSSCG00070002560.1)
Source: RNAcentral
CAACAACACAGGCGCAGUAACUCCUUCGUGGAGACUGCUUCCAUUUUCACAAUGUCCAGCUCCACGCUAGAGCUUCGGGGAAAGGGACCGAGGAAGUGACUGGUUCGCCAACUGAAACUCCCUGGGACAGACAAGACUGGGAGCCUUGGUGAAAGGGAGGAGACCCUGUGUCCCCGGUUUUGCCAAGUCAGCCUGGCCCAUCCUCUGACAGCUAAAUCAACACUCUUUAUCCUGUGGCGACUGAUAACGCAUCCACCGCUUCCUGCCAAGGAGGAAAUCCUGAUGGGACAUUAUCAGGGGCGAGACAUCAUCCGUCAGCCGCCGUCACAGGAACCCAGGGCUCAUCCAGACCCCACGCCAAUCUUUCCGCCUUUAUCUGCGCUCCCCAAAUGCCUCAGCCUGUUUGCUGAUAGAGGAAUCCGGCAUCUCCUCUUCUCAAGGACCCGAAAAAGAUUCUUCGAUAGCAAGAAACUAAGCGUGCCUUGCUCAGACCCCAAAGUGCCUUUCCAAAGAAUGGAUGGAAGAGGAACAGAUGCUGCCCUGAAGCUGCCCAUCGGACACGCAAAAGAAAAAGAGAAAACAGACAAGGUGACACCAAGAAGUCGGGAUGAGAAGGUGAAGAGACCCGGGAAAUCAAUGGCGACCUCGGCCAAGGCGAGGACGUGGAGUUCGGAAGGGGGGACGGGGGGGUCCUGAGGCUGCAUAGACGCGCUGCCCUCUGCUCUCCACCUGUGCCCUGCGACCCAUCAGAAGGCGGUCCUUAAGGGGUCAGAGUGCAUGCUGACCACCCCGAGCUGUGCUUUGGACUCAGACUUACAGACACAGUCCCUCCCCGCCGGCUGAAGGCCAAGGACCACCGCUGUGGAAGGCAGAGAAGUGACCUCAGGGAGGUGCAGUCUUGGGGAGCCCUGUCCCCUUGGGUGGGAGGGGCUGGUGAUGUGACCGAUGACACUGCCAUGAGCAGGGGACACUCUGUGGCUAAAGUCAAGAGGUUUUUUUGUUUUUUGGGAUAGAGUUGCUUUAUCAUGUUGUGUUAGUUUCAGGUGUACAGCAAAGUGAAUCAGUUCUACAUAUACUUAUAUCCAUUCUUUUUCAGAGUCUUUUCCCAAAGAGGUUAUGACAGAAUAUUCCAGAGAGGAGUUCUCACUGUGGUACAGGGGAUUAAGACUCUGACUGCAGCAACCCCGGUCACUGUGGGGGCACGGUUUCAAUGCCAGCCCAGCACACUGGGUUAAAGGAUCCAGCAUUGCCCAGCUUCAGCAUGGGUUACAGCUGUGGCUCGGAUUCAGUCACAGGAACUUCCAUAUGCCGGGAGUGUGGAUUUAUAAUGCUGUGCCGAUUUCGGCCAUGCAGCAUAGUGACCAGAAAAACAAUAUAUAAUAUUCUUUAUAUUUAUAUUAUAUAUUCUUUUUCUCAUACUGUUAUUUCACUUCAAUGAAAGUGAAAUAACAUAGAAUAUAUAUAGAUAGAAUAUAUACAUUCUUUUUCUCAUACUGUUAUUUCUCUUCAAUGCCCAAAACCCUUCUGGGACGUGAGCGUUUCUAACCCCGUUUUCCAUGAAGACGCAGAGCGUCUCGAGGGACUUUAAUUACUCCAGGUCCCAGGGGAGCUGAGAUUCAGAGGAUGACCUCCCCGAUCCUGGAAGCUCAUGUCUCUCCCCUCCAUCCGUCACUUCUCAGGCUCCCUCUAGGCCUGG